UCCCUGGUGGCUCAGAUGGUAAAGCAUCUGCCUACAAUGCAGGAGACCCAGAUUCAAACCCUGAGUCGGGAA
RNAcentral lists this transfer RNA (72 nucleotides) under Ovis aries (sheep). It matches the Rfam family "tRNA". From Rfam's summary of the family: Transfer RNA (tRNA) molecules are approximately 80 nucleotides in length. Their secondary structure includes four short double-helical elements and three loops (D, anti-codon, and T loops). Lineage: Eukaryota; Metazoa; Chordata; Mammalia; Artiodactyla; Bovidae. The record is from Rfam by way of RNAcentral.